AGGACGACGACUGGCGGCGUGCCUAAUACAUGCAAGUCGAACGGUCUUUCUAUGGAAGCUUGCUUCCACUGAGAAGAUAGUGGCGAACGGGUGAGUAACACGUGGGUAACCUGCCCAUAAGAGGGGGAUAACAUCCGGAAACGGGUGCUAAUACCGCAUAGUUUCUUGAUCGCAUGAUCGGGAAAGGAAAGACGGCCUUUGUGCUGUCGCUUAUGGAUGGACCCGCGGCGUAUUAGUUAGUUGGUGAGGUAACGGCUCACCAAGACGAUGAUACGUAGCCGACCUGAGAGGGUGAUCGGCCACAUUGGGACUGAGACACGGCCCAAACUCCUACGGGAGGCAGCAGUAGGGAAUCUUCCGCAAUGGACGAAAGUCUGACGGAGCAACGCCGCGUGAGUGAAGAAGGUUUUUUCGGGAUCGUAAAACUCUGUUGUCAGAGAAGAACAAGUUGGAGAGUAACUGCUCCAGCCUUGACGGUAUCUGACCAGAAAGCCACGGCUAACUACGUGCCAGCAGCGGC
RNAcentral lists this ribosomal RNA (520 nucleotides) under uncultured bacterium. RNAcentral's name for it is "bacterial SSU rRNA". It matches the Rfam family "Bacterial small subunit ribosomal RNA", at positions 26 to 518 of the family's 1533-position model. The record is from RNAcentral.